RNAcentral lists this ribosomal RNA (116 nucleotides) under Escherichia coli. Lineage: Bacteria; Pseudomonadati; Pseudomonadota; Gammaproteobacteria; Enterobacterales; Enterobacteriaceae. The record is from RNAcentral.
UCUGGCGGCAUUAGCGCGGUGGUCCCACCUGACCCCAUGCCGAACUCAGAAGUGAAACGCCGUAGCGCCGAUGGUAGUGUGGGGUCUCCCCAUGCGAGAGUAGGGAACUGCCAGGC